UGUGGGGUGCUCGAGUGGCGAACGGGUGAGUAACACGUGAGUAACCUGCCCUUGACUUUGGGAUAACUUCAGGAAACUGGGGCUAAUACCGGAUAGGAGCUCCUGCUGCAUGGUGGGGGUUGGAAAGUUUCGGCGGUUGGGGAUGGACUCGCGGCUUAUCAGCUUGUUGGUGGGGUAGUGGCUUACCAAGGCUUUGACGGGUAGCCGGCCUGAGAGGGUGACCGGCCACAUUGGGACUGAGAUACGGCCCAGACUCCUACGGGAGGCAGCAGUGGGGAAUAUUGCACAAUGGGCGGAAGCCUGAUGCAGCAACGCCGCGUGCGGGGUGACGGCCUUCGGGUUGUAAACCGCUUUCGCCUGUGACGAAGCGUGAGUGACGGUAAUGGGUAAAGAAGCACCGGCUAACUACGUGCCAGCAGCCGCGGUGAUACGUAGGGUGCGAGCGUUGUCCGGAUUUAUUGGGCGUAAAGGGCUCGUAGGUGGUUGAUCGCGUCGGAAGUGUAAUCUUGGGGCUUAACCCUGAGCGUGCUUUCGAUACGGGUUGACUUGAGGAAGGUAGGGGAGAAUGGAAUUCCUGGUGGAGCGGUGGAAUGCGCAGAUAUCAGGAGGAACACCAGUGGCGAAGGCGGUUCUCUGGGCCUUUCCUGACGCUGAGGAGCGAAAGCGUGGGGAGCGAACAGGCUUAGAUACCCUGGUAGUCCACGCUGUAAACGGUGGGUACUAGGUGUGGGGUCCAUUCCACGGGUUCCGUGCCGUAGCUAACGCUUUAAGUACCCCG
Molecule: ribosomal RNA, 778 nt
Filed under: uncultured Propionibacterium sp.
Lineage: Bacteria; Bacillati; Actinomycetota; Actinomycetes; Propionibacteriales; Propionibacteriaceae
Description: bacterial SSU rRNA
Rfam family: Bacterial small subunit ribosomal RNA
Source: RNAcentral